UGCCUAUAUAUACUGAGUUCUGCAAAACAUUAAAAUAUAAACAAUAAUAAUAAUAAUAAUCCUUAACAAAUAUUUAGGCAUAAAUAACAGUUUAAUGCUAAAUGGUUUUCUAUAUUUUGACAUUAAUUAAAAGUAAGAACUUGGCUAAAACAGUCCAAAGUUUUAUAAAUAUAGUUCUAAAACAUGCAGGUAUCACAAAUUCAUAUAUAAAAUGCAAUUCAUAAAUGUAUCUAUAUAUAUAGUAAGUGCUAAUUAAAAUGGAACACAUCAUAUGACAAACCCAUGUGUCCCUGUUUUCUAUUGAAACACAAAAUACUUCUAAAAUAUUCCCAAAUUUGUUGACAACAGGAAAAUAAUCUAGGUCAAUGUCACUGCUGGUGGAGUUUUUUUUAUUCCCUGAGGGGCAUCACCAGCCCAGUAGUCAGUACUUCUGUGUUGACAUGAAUUAUCAUUGAUGUGGUCAUAAUUAUAAAUUAAAUUUUUAUAAAACUUAGAAUUUUUGAAAUACUAAGGCUUUUCUACCUCAGGAAUAGACUACCUUAGCUGUAUUUGGCAAAACGUUUAGGAAUUUUGGGUCCUCAAUGCUUUUCAACUUUGUACUUUAUUUGGACUUUUUAACUUUUUUUUAUUUGAGCGUCACUGAUGAGUCUUUUGUAGACGAAGCACACUUCUGGCGAUAAUACUUAAUUUCAAUCCUGGUUUCUAUGAUGAGUUUAUUUGGUCUCAUGUGAGCUUUUUCAUAUCUUAGAUUUUAAAGUUGUCUUACUUGGUGGUAAAAAUCAUAUCAUAUGGGUUUUGGGUUUUUAUCCAAAAAGAGUUCACAGUUGACCAUACAGAGAAAAGGCCUUUGGAAAUUUUUCUUUUUAUAAAAUAUAAAGGGUACAUUGCAGUUUGAAUUUGUGUCUAUUUGUAUCAUAAAAUUUGUAAGAUUUGAAAAUUGCCAGAAACGUUUUAUUUGUAUAUUCAAAAAUCUGCAAAAUCUAAAGAUUGAUCAAAAUCCAAAGAAGAUCUGAUUGCUUGAAUUAUUUAUUCAAAGAAAAUACCAUCAUGUGUUGUAUUUCUAUUAGUACUCUUUAAACUAUAUAUAUAUAUAUAUAUAUAUGCAGAGGCAGAUCCAGAGGGAGGGUUGCGGGGGUUGGAACCCCCCCUUGUUUUGGGAUGAUCAAUGCAUUUUAAUAAGGGACAUGUGGUUGGAAACCCCCCCCCCUCUUUUCAAAAUGGCUUGAUUGGCCCUGACAUGCUGAAAAAAUUGCUUUCAGUAAGUGAACACAAUACAAAAGUUGAUAAUGUUUCUGAAAAAGGUAAAAAAAAAAUCCAGAAGUAAUGAGAAUCUAAAUAUACAACAAGUGUAUUGCUCAUGAUUUUUUUGUUUUGUGUGUGAAUAUAUGACAUACAUGUAUAUUUAAAGACUCUAUCUCUAUGAGAAAAUAUGAGUGGAUAAAAAUAAGUGCAAUUUAUAUUAAAUCCUGUGUUUGAAAUAAUCAAAUUCAAU
RNAcentral lists this long non-coding RNA (1492 nucleotides) under Mytilus galloprovincialis (Mediterranean mussel). Lineage: Eukaryota; Metazoa; Mollusca; Bivalvia; Mytilida; Mytilidae. The record is from RNAcentral.